AGUGAACGCUGGCGGUAGGCCUAACACAUGCAAGUCGAACGGCAGCACAGUAAGAGCUUGCUCUUACGGGUGGCGAGUGGCGGACGGGCGAGGAAUACAUCGGAAUCUACUUUUUCGUGGGGGAUAACGUAGGGAAACUUACGCUAAUACCGCAUACGACCUACGGGUGAAAGCAGGGGAUCUUCGGACCUUGCGCGAUUGAAUGAGCCGAUGUCGGAUUAGCUAGUUGGCGGGGUAAAGGCCCACCAAGGCGACGAUCCGUAGCUGGUCUGAGAGGAUGAUCAGCCACACUGGAACUGAGACACGGUCCAGACUCCUACGGGAGGCAGCAGUGGGGAAUAUUGGACAAUGGGGGCAAGCCUGAUCCAGCCAUACCGCGUGGGUGAAGAAGGCCUUCGGGUUGUAAAGCCCUUUUGUUGGGAAAGAAAAGCAGCAGGUUAAUACCCCGCUGUUCUGACGGUACCCAAAGAAUAAGCACCGGCUAACUUCGUG
This 492-nucleotide ribosomal RNA is filed under the name uncultured bacterium. RNAcentral describes it as "partial 16S ribosomal RNA". It matches the Rfam family "Bacterial small subunit ribosomal RNA", at positions 29 to 507 of the family's 1533-position model. The record is from RNAcentral.